This 497-nucleotide ribosomal RNA is filed under the name uncultured bacterium. Its description in RNAcentral is "partial 16S ribosomal RNA". It matches the Rfam family "Bacterial small subunit ribosomal RNA", at positions 28 to 507 of the family's 1533-position model. The record is from RNAcentral.
GAUGAACGCUGGCGGCGUGCCUAAUACAUGCAAGUCGAGCGAACGGACGAGGAGCUUGCUUCUCUGAUGUUAGCGGCGGACGGGUGAGUAGCACGUGGAUAACCUACCUAUAAGACUGGGAUAACUUCGGGAAACCGGAGCUAAUACCGGAUAAUAUUUUGAACCGCAUGGUUCAAAAGUGAAAGACGGUCUUGCUGUCACUUAUAGAUGGAUCCGCGCUGCAUUAGCGAGUUGGUAAGGUAACGGCUUACCAAGGCAACGAUGCAUAGCCGACCUGAGAGGGUGAUCGGCCACACUGGAACUGAGACACGGUCCAGACUCCUACGGGAGGCAGCAGUAGGGAAUCUUCCGCAAUGGGCGAAAGCCUGACGGAGCAACGCCGCGUGAGUGAUGAAGGUCUUCGGAUCGUAAAACUCUGUUAUUAGGGAAGAACAUAUGUGUAAGUAACUGUGCACAUCUUGACGGUACCUAAUCAGAAAGCCACGGCUAACUACGUG